RNAcentral lists this ribosomal RNA (328 nucleotides) under uncultured eukaryote. Its description in RNAcentral is "partial 18S ribosomal RNA". It matches the Rfam family "Eukaryotic small subunit ribosomal RNA", at positions 1470 to 1796 of the family's 1831-position model. The record is from RNAcentral.
CCCUUAGAUGUCCUGGGCCGCACGCGCGCUACACUGAUGCAUGCAACGAGUUUAUAACCUUGGCCUGAAAGGUCUGGGUAAUCUUUUGAACGUGCAUCGUGAUAGGGAUAGAUUAUUGCAAUUGUUAAUCUUGAACGAGGAAUUCCUAGUAAACGCGAGUCAUCAGCUCGCAUUGAUUACGUCCCUGCCCUUUGUACACACCGCCCGUCGCACCUACCGAUUGAAUGGUUCGGUGAAGAUCUCGGACUUCGAUAUUUAUUCUUUAUUGAGUUUAUAUUGUGGGAAGUUAUCUAAACCUUAUCAUUUAGAGGAAGGUGAAGUCGUAACA